Molecule: ribosomal RNA, 254 nt
Filed under: uncultured bacterium
Lineage: Bacteria
Description: partial 16S ribosomal RNA
Rfam family: Bacterial small subunit ribosomal RNA
Source: RNAcentral
UACAGAGGGAUGCUACCGGGCGACCGGAUGCGGAUCUCGAAAGCCUGUCCCAGUUCGGACUGGAGUCUGCAACCCGACUCCACGAAGUUGGAUUCGCUAGUAAUCGCGCAUCAGCCAUGGCGCGGUGAAUACGUUCCCGGGCCUUGUACACACCGCCCGUCAAGCCAUGGAAGCCGGGAGUGCCUGAAGUGUGCAACCGCAAGGAGCGCCCUAAGGUAAAACUGGUGACUGGGGCUAAGUCGUAACAAGGUAAC